CUGUACAUUUUAAUUUCGCGCGCCAAUUUUCUAUGUCCGCAGUCUCUUGCUCAAAUGUCGCCAAUAGUUCGGCAUUCUUACUUUCUUGCAAGGCUGAGAGCUGUUCAGCAGUUGCUAAUUUCUCUCGAAGUUGCUCAACAAGUUCGUCUCUUUCCAUAAUUUCUAUUUCUUUUUCGUCGAGAACAAAUUCUUUUUGUUCAAGUCUUUCUUGCGUGGCGACCAACGUGUGAUUCAACUCGUCAAUUAGUUUGUCCUAUUCGA
Paramuricea clavata is the source of this 261-nucleotide non-coding RNA. The record is from the annotation of a GenBank genome assembly. NCBI's taxonomy places the organism in Eukaryota, Metazoa, Cnidaria, Anthozoa, Malacalcyonacea, Plexauridae.